This 253-nucleotide ribosomal RNA is filed under the name uncultured bacterium. Its description in RNAcentral is "partial 16S ribosomal RNA". It matches the Rfam family "Bacterial small subunit ribosomal RNA", at positions 524 to 776 of the family's 1533-position model. The record is from RNAcentral.
UACGUAGGGCGCAAGCGUUGUCCGGAAUUAUUGGGCGUAAAGAGCUCGUAGGCGGUCUGUCGCGUCUGUUGUGAAAACUCGAGGCUCAACCUCGGGCUUGCAGUGGAUACGGGCAGACUAGAGUGCGGUAGGGGAGACUGGAAUUCCUGGUGUAGCGGUGGAAUGCGUAGAUAUCGGGAGGAACACCAGUGGCGAAGGCGGUUGCCUGGGGCUUUGCUGACGCUGAGGCGCGAAAGCGUGGGGAGCGAUCCGG